This 325-nucleotide ribosomal RNA is filed under the name uncultured bacterium. RNAcentral describes it as "bacterial SSU rRNA". It matches the Rfam family "Bacterial small subunit ribosomal RNA", at positions 29 to 334 of the family's 1533-position model. The record is from RNAcentral.
UACGAACGCUGGCGGCGCGCUUAACACAUGCAAGUCGAGCGAUGAAAUCUUGACAGAACCCUUCGGGGCGAAGAUAAGAUGGAUUAGCGGCGGACGGGUGAGUAACACGUGAGUAACCUGCCUUAGACAUUGGGAUAGCCUCGGGAAACCGGGAUUAAUACCAAAUGAAAUCACAUAUGCACAUGCAUAAAUGAUCAAAGCUCCGGCGGUCUAAGAUGGACUCGCGUCCCAUUAGCUAGUUGGUGAGGUAACGGCCCACCAAGGCGACGAUGGGUAGCCGGCCUGAGAGGGUGAACGGCCACAUUGGAACUGAGAAACGGUCCAA